AACGAUGAUAUCACCUGCUUGCAGUGAUUGAUUAGUGGCGAACGGGUGAGUAACACGUGAGGAACUUGCCCAUGAGCGGGGGACAACAUUCGGAAACGGAUGCUAAUACCCCAUAGGUGGAUUGGUCGCAUGACGAAUUCAUUAAAGGUGGCUUUGCUACCACUCAUGGAUAGCCUCGCGGCGUAUUAGCUAGUUGGUAAGGUAAUGGCUUACCAAGGCAGUGAUACGUAGCCGACUUGAGAGGGUGAUCGGCCACACUGGGACUGAGACACGGCCCAGACUCCUACGGGAGGCAGCAGUAGGGAAUCUUCCACAAUGGGUGCAAACCUGAUGGAGCAAUGCCGCGUGAGUGAAGAAGGUCUUCGGAUCGUAAAGCUCUGUUGUUAGAGAAGAACACGUGCUAGGUAACUACUAGCGCCUUGACGGUAUCUAACCAGAAAGUCACGGCUAACUAC
RNAcentral lists this ribosomal RNA (455 nucleotides) under uncultured Dolosigranulum sp. RNAcentral describes it as "bacterial SSU rRNA". It matches the Rfam family "Bacterial small subunit ribosomal RNA", at positions 65 to 504 of the family's 1533-position model. Lineage: Bacteria; Bacillati; Bacillota; Bacilli; Lactobacillales; Carnobacteriaceae. The record is from RNAcentral.